RNAcentral lists this ribosomal RNA (460 nucleotides) under uncultured bacterium. RNAcentral describes it as "bacterial SSU rRNA". It matches the Rfam family "Bacterial small subunit ribosomal RNA", at positions 28 to 495 of the family's 1533-position model. The record is from RNAcentral.
GACGAACGCUGGCGGCGUGCUUAACACAUGCAAGUCGAACGAGGUCCACCGCGUAGCAAUACAAGGGAAGACCUAGUGGCGAACGGGUGCGUAACACGUGAGGAACUUGUCCCGGUCUCUGGGAUAACAGUUGGAAACGACUGCUAAUACCGGAUGACGUCGGAAUCUCGCAUGGGAUACUGACGAAAGGGUUACUGGAUCGGGAGAGCCUCGCGGCCUAUCAGCUUGUUGGUGAGGUAACGGCUCACCAAGGCAUCGACGGGUAGCUGGUCUGAGAGGAUGAUCAGCCACACUGGGACUGAGACACGGCCCAGACUCCUACGGGAGGCAGCAGUGGGGAAUCUUGCGCAAUGGGCGAAAGCCUGACGCAGCAACGCCGCGUGCGGGAAGAAGGCCCUCGGGUUGUAAACCGCUUUCAGAAGGAACGAAAAUAGACGGUAACUUUCUAGAAGAAGGUAGG